Molecule: ribosomal RNA, 668 nt
Filed under: Ensete sp. MN030
Lineage: Eukaryota; Viridiplantae; Streptophyta; Magnoliopsida; Zingiberales; Musaceae
Description: eukaryotic LSU rRNA
Rfam family: 5.8S ribosomal RNA (bases 226-381)
Source: RNAcentral
UGGGCCUGUCGGACAUCGAUGAGGACGACCGCGAUGCGUCAACGAAUGCUCGUCGGGCUUCGUCCCGACAACGCCCCAACGUCGGUCCCUCCCUCGGGUGGGACGACGGUGGGGACGGAUCACCAAACCCCGGCGCGGACAGCGUCAAGGAACACAAACAUUGGAGUCGGAGGGCCCCUCUGCAUGCUGCAGGAGGCCUCUGUUCCGAUCGUGACCCCAUUGGAUGACUCUCGGCAACGGAUAUCUCGGCUCUUGCAUCGAUGAAGAACGUAGCGAAAUGCGAUACCUGGUGUGAAUUGCAGAAUCCCGUGAACCAUCGAGUCUUUGAACGCAAGUUGCGCCCGAGGCCAUCCGGCCAAGGGCACGCCUGCCUGGGCGUCACGCUUUCGACGCUUCGUCGAUGCCCCCCCUGGGGGGGCGUCGGGCGAAUGCGGAGGAUGGCACCCCGUGCCCAAAGGUGCGGUUGGCCGAAGAGCUUGGCCGUCGGUGCUCGUCGGACACGACGCGUGGUGGAUGCCUUGCGCGAACCGUACGUCGUUCCUUCGGGACCCGAACAAGGCCUCGAGGACCCAAGCCGUGGUGCGAGUCGAUACGAUGCCACGGACCGCGACCCCAGGUCAGGUGGGGCUACCCGCUGAGUUUAAGCAUAUCAAUAAAGCGGAGGAACU